CCCUUAGAUGUCCUGGGCCGCACGCGUGCUACACUGACGCCUACAGUGAGUACUUCCCAGCCCCGAGAGGUGGCUGGUAAUCAGCAAUAGGCGUCGUGAUGGGGAUAGAUCUUUGGAAUUAUGGAUCUUGAACGAGGAAUGCCUAGUAAGCGCAGGUCAUUAGCCUGCGCUGAUUAAGUCCCUGCCCUUUGUACACACCGCCCGUCGCUCCUACCGAUUUCGAGUGGUCCGGUGAAUCUUUCGGACUGCGCGCGGCCUCGUGCCGUGUCGCGGAAAGUCAGGUAAACCUUAUCACUUAGAGGAAGGAGAAGUCGUAACA
This 319-nucleotide ribosomal RNA is filed under the name uncultured eukaryote. Its description in RNAcentral is "partial 18S ribosomal RNA". It matches the Rfam family "Eukaryotic small subunit ribosomal RNA", at positions 1470 to 1796 of the family's 1831-position model. The record is from RNAcentral.